This 492-nucleotide ribosomal RNA is filed under the name uncultured bacterium. Its description in RNAcentral is "partial 16S ribosomal RNA". It matches the Rfam family "Bacterial small subunit ribosomal RNA", at positions 29 to 507 of the family's 1533-position model. The record is from RNAcentral.
AGUGAACGCUGGCGGUAGGCCUAACACAUGCAAGUCGAACGGCAGCACAGUAAGAGCUUGCUCUUACGGGUGGCGAGUGGCGGACGGGUGAGGAAUACAUCGGAAUCUACUUUUUCGUGGGGGAUAACGUAGGGAAACUUACGCUAAUACCGCAUACGACCUACGGGUGAAAGCAGGGGAUCUUCGGACCUUGCGCGAUUGAAUGAGCCGAUGUCGGAUUAGCUAGUUGGCGGGGUAAAGGCCCACCAAGGCGACGAUCCGUAGCUGGUCUGAGAGGAUGAUCAGCCACACUGGAACUGAGACACGGUCCAGACUCCUAAGGGAGGCAGCAGUGGGGAAUAUUAGGCAAUGGGCGGAAGCCUGAUCCAGCCAUACCGCGUGGGUGAAGAAGGCCUUCGGGUUGUAAAGCCCUUUUGUUGGGAAAGAAAAGCAGCAGGUUAAUACCCCGCUGUUCUGACGGUACCCAAAGAAUAAGCACCGGCUAACUUCGUG